UGGCAAGAUCUGGGAAAUGCAAUCAAUGAGAAGAAUAUACAGGAAAUAGAAGCCAUAAACAAAAAAGAUUGGUUGAGUCUCGGCGAGGUCUGGAGUACAGGUGUUGAAACUAAUCAGUGGUGACCCAGAAAGAUCUGAAGCUGAACAGAAUGCUUUCAAGAUGGAAAUGUGCAACAAAGAUGGCAGAGAUGGGCUGGUAAUGGUCUCAUCUUUCCUUUUGUAGGCUUUAUUCCAGAUGUAGCUUUAAAAGGAUAGAAGCCUGUUGGACGCACAAGAGGACAUGCCUGAGAGUGAGGAAACCUUCAUCUGCUGUGAGACCCACAAUAUGACUUUGCCUUUCUAAACCUGGAGAACUCUAUUUUAAAAGAUUCCAAUUGUUAGAACUGAAGGCACAUUAUCAGAAUGAUUCAGCUUCCAUUCCAGGACUCAUAAACACAUAUCUCUUAAAGCUAUGACUUGAUGCAACUGGGAUGUGCUAUGCAGGAGAUACUGUUCUUCCCAGCCUUAAAAAUCUAUGAGCCUGCAGUGUCCUGAUAAUCAGCAUCCAGGAGCUUCAGGUUUUAUCAAUUAGCACAACAUGAAAAGAGAAAUUGCAAUUGUAAUGAAGAAACAGGGUGUGUUGAAAGGAGAUGGAAGCUCUAGAUCUCAAUGAGAGGUUAGAGUCUGCAUCUAGCAUCUGGAUAUUAGCUUCUGGAGGCUGAGCCUACUGCUGAGCACAGAACUGAAGCCGAGUCUACAUCUGCAAGGCAUGCCAUCAGCCCAUUAGCCAUCACUGAAGUGAAGCCACUCCUGACAUCUCUGAACUCAAAGCAUUAAAAGUCUGGAUUUUCAAACUGUGAUCCAAAACACAGCAUUGUCCAGCAGCACCACAGUCCUUAACAGGUUCUGUUUCAGAAGUGCCACCCAUGACCUGCAACAUGCAGUUUCUUCCUCAGGAUGCUCCUUUCCUACUGCUAACUCCAUUGACUCUUGUGUGAGUUUUGUAAGAUCUGAGAUCCAAAGCCUGAGGCAGGAUGUCUGUAGUACUACAGAGAACUUCCAGGCACGUACUGGAGACAAGGUAGAUGGUUUGACAGCAGUCUGGAAGAAAGAGAAGAGAAUAAUUCUCCACUAUCUCCUAGAAACCUACAAGUGUUUCACUUCUGGGCAUUUUCUGAAACAUCUGGAUACAAGGAGGAUAAAAGGUACCAGUGUAACCUCCCAGUAAGAUCAAUUGUUUAAAGCUUUGUGUGUAUUUCUAAUCUUCUUUGGCAUCCUUCCCAAGAUCAUAGAAACUGAUCUGUGAAUUUCCUUGGAGUAGAAUGCAACGUAUUCUGCAUAUUUCUACUUUAUGCAGUCAGCUUAGAUUGUCUUAUCCCUAAUUUAUCAUCAAAUUACACAGAAAGGAAAACAAGGAAUUUUCUAGACAGUCCCAUAUAAGCUGUUAAAAUUGCCUUUUCCUCCUCAUCAUCAUAGUUCUUUGCUUUCAAUCUGAGUUUUUGCAAAGGUUUUUGUCAAUGGAGCUUAUCCAGCAGAUGGAAGUCAUGAUAAAGCUUCAAACGAUUUUCUUCUUGCAGUCUCCCAUGAAUUGUGGCCACGCUUGUUUAUUUCAAGCAUUUAGGGUCUUAUCCAGAGAGAUUCAGAGCUACCUACAAAGUCAAAGUGUUGAACUCCCCAUAGCUCGGUGAGCUCUGAGCUCUCAGACCUGAUUAACCCAGCAUCUAAGAGGAUCAGUUCAAACUUCCACAAGUGUUUACCUUAGGCAACAUGCACAUUACCAGUAUCUGAGACAUCAUCAAAGUUGGCUCAUGCAUGGAACCAGUGUCUUCAUAGUCUCUAGGACUGUGACAGAAAACAGGAUAUUGUUAUGUGGUUGUGAGAAGCCUUGAGAAUUGGUCUUGGACCUGGAAAAUCUGUCCGCCCUGCUGCUGCUCGUGUUCUGCUUUUAAUUUCCUUGCCUUCUCAUAGACUGCAGACCUCUGUAGUACUCAUAAUAAAGGGCUUAAUUAGGUGACAAGAAGAACAUUAAAAGGGCUAAGACCUUUAAAAACAAUUGGAAACAUUUAUAACCCCAAACAUGGUACACUUGACAUGAUGUUCUUUAGGGAUUUAUCUCCCUCACAAAGGACACGUCCUACAGUGCUGAAAGACAACUUGAUUUCAAUUAUCUUUAUUUCAAAGAAUGAGAAUUGUAGUUAUAAGUCAUCAGAGUUUGGGAUUUUUUCAGUUUUCAUUGAAUUCUUUCUCCUUUGAGCACACAUCUAUUUGUGCAACUCAGCCUUUUCUAGUAAAAAUCAUUCUUUCUUUAUCCAAUCACAUCACUGCCUUUCCUUUUUCCUCCUUGUAGAUAAAUAAUUCCCAAUUAGACUUCUACCCAAAAUUAUCCAAGGUUGUUUGUUGUCUUCCUAUUCAUUUUACUUACGUAUCCUAUUAGCAACAUCUGCCUUAUAUGUAUUGAUAAUGAACACUUCAGGGAUCAUCUAUUAUUCUGCAACCAUAUAAAAGCUAGAACAAGAAGACCUAUUGUUGGUAAAUAUAUUCAUAUUAACGUUAGAAAUGUGUUUAUUGAUGAUAAUAACAAUCAUAUUUUAAUAACUCAUUGGUUGCAGUGACUUCACUGAUGUGUGUUUAUCUGUGCAAAAGCAAAAACAGCGACAGAAGUAAACUAAAUCUUAUGUAAACAUGCUUUAAAACUCAUCUUUAGUUUCGAUCACCAUUGGCUCCAUUCAGUGCUUUGAAAAGUUCCAUCUCUUUAAAAGCUUUCCUUUGGGACUCAGUUCGUUUUUCUGCAGAGAAGCAAUGACCUCCCCCAGGUUGUUUCUUGACUGAAGUAAUUGCUGUGACUCCUCAGGUCCCACACAACCAAUAGCUAAUUAGUUCCAAUCAAGUUCUCUCACAGGUGCUUCUGAAGUUGCCAUUUGGAAGCAGCAGUUUCUUCUGGAAGGUGGAGAAGGCAACACCAAAGUUCAGAGAUGAGAAAGAGCAUGAGAUCAGUCCUGGCGUGGUUCUGCUUUUUCCUUGAGCAAGCUACAACAGACGGAUCCAACAGCCCCACGAGGAACCUGCUGAGGGAGCAGAGCCCAUUAUGGAGCCUUGCUCCAUAACCACAAGGCAGCAAAGCAGAGCACAUCUCCUGCCUGCAGGUCUCCAGGGAGAGUCAACAGCCUGCGUGAAACACCUCUUCUCCCUUUUAACUUCGGAAAGGAAACUAAAGAGCGGAUGAAGUGAGAAGAUGCCUUUAGGAUUCCUGCACUCACAGGUUGGAGUGCAGACAGGGCAGCAGACACAGGAAUUACACACAGAACCCCCUCACCUCAACACCUCCAUCGCCUCUAGAGAUGUCUAGAAGGUAUUUCUAUGGCUCAAUGCUGACAGUUAUCAUAAAAACAAGUUAUGGAUGCGGGAAUUCUGAACUCAAAAAUAGUUAUUUCUGCAGAUUGUAUCAAGAUUUCGUUGUAAAAACGGACUUAGGAAAGACACGCAAUGAUUUAGGAUUCUUGUCCUAUAAGAGCUCCCUGUCAAUUGGCUGCUGGUGGAGCGGGGUUGCCGUCAGCCUUUGUGCACCUUUUAAAGUUGAUUUGUAAACCUGAUUUUGCGGACAUUUUUAAUGAGGAUGUUUCUAUUCCUUUGGAUCAAACGCUAAUAAGCCUUAACUUCAAAUGCUGUGAUUUAGUCAUGUAUUACACUUUAUUAUAAUACAUGGCAAAAGAAGAAACGAUGCCUUUCUAACAACGGUAUGUAAUUCAUAAUGUCAUUCAUUUUAGGAAGUUUUCCUGUGAAUCUCACCUGAUCCACGUGAGAAACGAGGAUGAUGAUGGUGGUUUGACAGCAAAGAAAAAUGGCUCUUGUUAAUUUCUUUUUCUUUGGGGGGGGAUAAAAAAAGGCAGAAUUCAUCAAUGUUGGAGGGCAAAAGCAUCAUAUGCACAGAAGUCGUGGCAGUGAAUCACUAUCCUUCCUGAGACACACAAAAUAAACAGUGCCAUGUGCUACAGGUCAGUGGGCGCUGCUCCUGGAAGGGAAAGCAAAGUGAGAGGGCUGAGCUGCCCGUGUGGGGGUGAGUCACAGGGGGAGGAAAACAACAAUAUCUGAAAAGGCAGAUUUGAGGGAUCUGAUAUUGGGGUGAGAACAGAUGUGUUCUAUGUGUAAUUUCUUAAUGUGGCAGCAAAUGGGAGACUUCUGAAAUGCACAACGAUCAACUAAAGCUAAAAGCGUUCAGUUUCCCUUGAAGAAAUCAGUGAAUAAUAACAGAUCUGGAAAUCAUAAGGCUGAGAACAUUUUUAUGCAUACUGCAUAACAAAAUAAACCCUUUACAUAAGACAGUAAUAAUGCCCAUUAAUGAAUAUACAUAUGGCAGAGAUUUUAAUUCCAUGCAUAUGAUUUAAUAAUCACAGAAAAAAAAAAA
Molecule: non-coding RNA, 4381 nt
Organism: Coturnix japonica (Japanese quail)
Lineage: Eukaryota; Metazoa; Chordata; Aves; Galliformes; Phasianidae
Source: RefSeq, a predicted model, not a curated record